Molecule: RNA transcript, 3073 nt
Organism: Micropterus salmoides (largemouth bass)
Lineage: Eukaryota; Metazoa; Chordata; Actinopteri; Centrarchiformes; Centrarchidae
Gene name: myelin-oligodendrocyte glycoprotein-like
Exons: 6
Source: RefSeq, a predicted model, not a curated record
CACGGACUGAUUUGGGGCGUGUUCUUUUAUAAAGAGUGUGUGUGACCCGUCCUAUAUGCUAUUUAUACAAUCCAUGUCUACGCAACGUUUGUAAUGUCAGUAUUUUGAGAAUACUCGCACAGACUGGUCUUUAAACAUUGUAUAUUGUAAGAAGUCGACCAUGGCGACGUUCCCACCGCCGGACAACUUUGAUUUCAGUCAUCGGGAGUUCUGGCCUGAGUGGAGGCGGAGGAUCCAGCUACAGAACGGCGACCGAGCUCGACAAAGACGAGGAAGUGCUUGCGUGGACCGUGUUGUGUUAGUUGGGAGGAAAGCGGUAAAUUAAUUUAAUGUGAUUCAUGAGAGGGCAAGAAUCCACCAGGGGACCCAGGGUGAAAAUGUGGAGGGAUCUUUGGUGCCGGGAAGAAUGAGAAUGAGACAGAUCUUGUGGUCGGUGUCCUGGACACAGAAUUGUCACAGAAAUUGUAAAUAAUGUCGGAUUUAAGCUCGGAGAAGGCGUGCAGACAAGCUAGACAGUCGGAAAGAUCAAGAUUGAGAUCAGAGACACAGCCUGGUGUGAGGUGAAGCAAACAUGGAAAUCUCUGUGAAGCUCUCUCUUGUUGACUAUUCAUUUUGGUUUGUACUUGUCUUCGUCCUAACUUGCACUUGAGAUUUCCACUUGCCGGGUGGUUUACCACGAGGUCCCAGGAGUCAACCAAUUUGAAAAAGAACUACGGGACCACUUCUUUGAUGUCCCACCAAUCACAACCUCUGUUUCAUAUCCAAUAGACAUUCAACAACAACACAAUAACAAUUGUUGUGAUUGGCUUACAAAAUUAACCCUGUAUAGUACUCAUAAGCUGAAGUGUCCCACUCAACCUGAAUUCACCUGUUAUUGUGAUUAUAAAACAUAAUUUUUAAAAUACGUAAGCUGUUUUUAAAUAGGCCUAUAUAACUGUGGUACUAAAACACUGUUUUGUCGUGAAAUGUGGCCCCCGUGGGUCCGUGUGUUAAUUUACCCUAAAUCACACGUCUGACGAAGAAUUUCAAGCAAAUAAAUUAAGAGUGGUUUAUUUGGAUUUCACUACAUUAUAACGUUAAUUGUAAUACGUUAUUAAUAACAUUGGCCAUAAUUAGCCUAUUAAGGAAUUUUGUGUGUGUGUGUAUAUAUAUAUAUAUAUAUAAAUACACUAUACACACACACAUUGGUAUAUUAGUAGAAAAUCAGCAGUUUCAAUCUCGGGGCGGAGACGUCUAUUCUUAACAGCUUACAAUAAAAUAAAACCGACCGCAAUUGAAUUUUUGGGUAACAAUAAUUUACUGCCAUGAAAAACGCAGUGAGAUUUUUAUCUGUAUGUGCUGAUCUAAAAAAUGUGAGUUUGUAGCCUAAUGUUCCUGAAAAUGUUGUGUAGCCUAUUUCAUCAUGAGUCGUAGUAAAAAUCUGGUACAGUAGGUGGCGGUAUGCACCUAAACAAGGCGGUUUGCGACCCGCCAUAAACCCAGAAGAAGAAUGUACUUCCUGUAGUUUGGUGCAUCCCGAACUAACCCGACUGGGACUACAACACCUUGAUUUAUACAGUUUUGGUUUUACUCCGCACGUUGUAACGCUAACCUUACAGAGUAACAUCAUUUCCCUGUUAGCUGAAAACAGAGAGCCUCAUGCCAUUUGCCCAAAUUCGAGAAUCCAGGCGCUGGAAGGUGAUACGGUCACUCUACCAUGUUAUCUGGUCCCUGCACGCAGCGUGGUGGAUCGUACUUUCGAUUGGAAAAGAGUUGACCUCAACAAGGUGGUCUACGCGUACCGGCACAAGCAGGAAAAUCCCAAUGACCAGAUGGCUCAUUACAGAGGCAGGACUACUGUUAACCUUGAUGACCUGAGCAGAGGAAACAUGACUCUGCAGAUCUCCUCAGUGCAGCUGGCUGACACAGGACCGUACAGCUGUUUUGUCCCAAAACUGGAGACCAGUUGUGUUACUGAUCUCACUGUUGUUGAGCAAGUGACCAGCACAACUAGACCUCCGCCAGAUGAACCGAGCAAUCCUGAUGGGGACAACAGGCAGCUUAUUGCCAUUGUCCCUUCCACUGUCGUUGGGAUUGUCAUCAUUAUCUGCGUUCUCGUCGGGGUUCUGGUGAGACGUGGAAUGAUCUAGAAAUAUAUGAUGAGACUCAGAGGAAGGACGGAGCAAAAGGUGGCGACGGCUGUGAGCUGAAACAUCUGAGGUCUUCAUCAACAAACGAUGGCCCUGAUGACCGUGAUGCCGACCUGGACCCUGAUGGCCCUGAUGACCGUGAUGCCGACCUGGACCCUGAUAGCCCUGAUGACCGUGAUGCCGACCUGGACCCUGAUGGUCCUGAUGACCGUGAUGCUGAAUGCUGACCUGGACCCUGAUGGUCCUGAUGACCGUGAUGCUGACCUGGACCCUGAUGGUCCUGAUGACCGUGAUGCUGACCUGGACCCUGAUGGCCCUGAUGACCGUGAUGCUGAAUGCUGACCUGGACCCUGAUGGCCCUGAUGACCGUGAUGCUGACCUGGACCCUGAUGGUCCUGAUGCAAACAACUUAAACAACGUGCAAAUAGUACAGUGUUGGUCCGGACUUUGUUUGUCUGUGAUUGGCUGUCGAAAAUUAGCGCAGAUGACUGAACCCUUUUUAAGUCACAAGAUAAAGUAUUUUUUUUAAGGAUAUCUUUUAUAAAUAUAUAUUUUUUUAAAGCUCACCAAAAAUCUUUGCAUUAUGGAAUCAGGGACCUUAUCCACAUGGUUCAUUUGUUUUGUAAUUGCAUCACUUUGUCAUAUACAUACUUUAACAUUUAACUCUUUAAAAUUUUUUCUUAACUCUUAACAUGUUUUUUAUCUUGGCAGGGUAGGAUCUGUACAAAAUCAUUAAAGGGAGCCUGACUGUAGACCAGCAGUACAAGUUUUAUUUUGGUCGUAUGCUUUAAUCUUUCUAUGUAGCCUAUAAUGUAUGUGUAUACAUGGUUGCUGAUGUACUGUAUUUGUAUUUGCAUUUGUGUAUCAUAUCUGUGAAGCACUGUGUGACUGGCUCUUAAAAAGCAUGAUUUAAAUCAAGAAUAAAAGUAUUAUUAUUAUUAUUA